Molecule: ribosomal RNA, 491 nt
Filed under: uncultured bacterium
Lineage: Bacteria
Description: partial 16S ribosomal RNA
Rfam family: Bacterial small subunit ribosomal RNA
Source: RNAcentral
AGUGAACGCUGGCGGUAGGCCUAACACAUGCAAGUCGAACGGCAGCACAGUAAGAGCUUGCUCUUACGGGUGGCGAGUGGCGGACGGGUGAGGAAUACAUCGGAAUCUACUUUUUCGUGGGGGAUAACGUAGGGAACCUUACGCUAAUACCGCAUACGACCUACGGGUGAAAGCAGGGGAUCUUCGGACCUUGCGCGAUUGAAUGAGCCGAUGUCGGAUUAGCUAGUUGGCGGGGUAAAGGCCCACCAAGGCGACGAUCCGUAGCUGGUCUGAGAGGAUGAUCAGCCACACUGGAACUGAGACACGGUCCAGACUCCUACGGGAGGCAGCAGUGGGGAAUAUUGGACAAAGGGCGCAAGCCUGAUCCAGCCAUACCGCGUGGGUGAAGAAGGCCUUCGGGUUGUAAAGCCCUUUUGUUGGGAAAGAAAAGCAGCAGGUUAAUACCCCGCUGUUCUGACGGUACCCAAAGAAUAAGCACCGGCUAACUUCGU